GCUUGUCCUGCCCUGAUUGGUUUCAGCUGUGUCUACCUGUGCUCUCCAUGAGUCUGUUGGUUUGUUUGUGUUUGCAGACUUCCUCGCAGUCCGUGUGUUUGCUUGGCUUUUGGAUUAUUCUGUGUUUGGACUUUUUUACCCAGAUUCCCUGCUGCCUUUUGUUUGCUUCUGCUCUCUUUGAGUCAUGACGUUGGAGAAGGGGAUCUCGGCCUUGAACAUCUUCCUACAGUGCAUGAGCUGCACCAGCAGCUUUUAAUCACAUGUUGUGGCCUUCGCUGGUCGAGUUUCCACGGAGAGCGAAACACUGGAGACCAUCUGUUAUCAUGAGUUACCAUCACGAUGAAGACCAUGAGACGGCAUAGAAAUCCCCAAAGCUGUUCCUUCUCCUUCUUGACCUUCAUCUCCUCCUCCUCCUCCUCCUCCACGCCUGUCAGCCUCUCCAGAUUUACCUUCGCUAUUGGAUCAAUAUAUGGCUUGGCAUAAUAAAUGAGCUCCGGGACUAAAUAAUACAUUUGGUUUUCUUGGAGGCUUUUUUGUGCUGCAGAAAAACAACAGGCUGAAACAGGAGCUCACCAACUGUUCAGAGUCACUAGCAGCCUGCCCGCCUCCCCCAUCGCCGGCUGUCUGAGACGACUCAGUGAUGUGAUCUCUCGACAGAAGCUGAAACCUCAGCUGACUUACUUUUGCACCAUGUCGUGCAUUUAACUCACUGAGAAAGAAAACACUAAAGCUCGCGGCUAAGACGGUGUGGACGACGGUACAGAAGUUUAACUGUUAGUGUUUUCAUCGGUUGCAUCAGUUAAAUCCCAAAGAUAUGUUUUCUGUGACUUUUAUACUGUCAAACAUUGUUCGCUCAGCACACAUCCUGGUCAAAACUCUUCAAUACCCAAACUUAAAGCUGCUAGGGUGAAUAUUUUAAUAUUAACCACAGAUGAAAUUACUAUGCGGGAUGUGCGAGGGACGGCUCGUGGCGAUCCCUGAGCUCUGCCCUACAGAGCGUCUUUCAGCUCCUUGUUUUGGUUUUAGUGCCUUUUAUGUUUGGCAUUAAAUGUGUUCACGGCUUCUUCUGACGCAGCCAAAAAGUUAAAUCAAAGCUGCUCUGAACGGGAGAACAUCUAAUAAUGCAAUGUGUUCAGUAUACUGUGAAUGUUGUCAUUUUAAAGCACCUGUAUUUGGGGUACAAAUAAUCACCUUUCGGAUGUGGAAG
This is a long non-coding RNA of Scatophagus argus, 1207 nucleotides long. RefSeq lists it as uncharacterized. NCBI's taxonomy places the organism in Eukaryota, Metazoa, Chordata, Actinopteri, Scatophagidae. The transcript has 4 exons. The record is from RefSeq and is a predicted model, not a curated record.